This 647-nucleotide long non-coding RNA is filed under the name Homo sapiens (human). RNAcentral's name for it is "HSALNT0049717". The record is from RNAcentral. Lineage: Eukaryota; Metazoa; Chordata; Mammalia; Primates; Hominidae.
ACUGAAGAGACUCAAUGUCCUUGAAAGCACUUUUCUUUUUAUUAUGUUCAAAAUUCAGCAACGAAAACUGCUCGUCUUGCUUCUACGGAAGCUGUAAGGACGAGAAAGUGGAGCGCUGUCGCGGAAAGAGGCAGAAAUUUGGUGACACAAGAGCGAUCUCAGGACAGGGUGGAGCCAGGGAUCAGGACUGUGGUGCCCAGUCCCAGCUCAGCUAAGCCAAUGUGCGUCUUUGGCUUGAAUGGAGGUGCAAUAAAGCGAGGGCACUUUCUGCGAGAUCUGGAAGGACCCUUGGAACUGAUCUCAUCCUGCCUCCCUCUGGGAAGCCAGGGAAGGCCUGAGCCCUACGGGGUGAUGACAACCGGCCUCUGCCCAGGGCAUGCUGUCGAGGUCCUGGAGAGAUCUGUUUCCCUGGUCACACUGGGACAGUGUCAGCUCCCAUCCAUCUGGUCCGGUCGUUUAGAUUAAGUGCUGAGAGGUGUAGCUCUUCCUAUACCUGCUGGACUACAGAAAGGCAGGCAGCCACUGCCUAGAGAAGGGUGAGGACUGCAGAGACCAAACAGCUCCUCCCAUGUCCACAUCAGCCCUGUCUGAGCAGAUCCUAGAACGUAGCCUGCUUUGCCGCCUUCUCUGCCUGCAGCACUCUGCCU